RNAcentral lists this long non-coding RNA (282 nucleotides) under Brassica napus (rape). RNAcentral describes it as "long non-coding RNA (BNAP_LNC021220)". The record is from RNAcentral. Lineage: Eukaryota; Viridiplantae; Streptophyta; Magnoliopsida; Brassicales; Brassicaceae.
UGGUAAGCAAGGAGCACAAUUGUCUUGUAGACGUCCAAGGUGUAUUGUUUACGGAUGUCGUCAACUAGGUCGUCUGUUAACCCAAACAUGUGGGGGUGCAAGGUCCCCAUGUGCGUUCAUCUCGAAGGACUUGAUACUGAUCGGACCACAAUCGCCAGUCCUUUCGUUGUAGUAGAUAUCCGGAACACAAUACCAACUGAAAGGAUCAAGCCCGCAUAACUGAGUUUGUUGGUGUUUAGCAACCUUCUUGACGAGAUAUGGGAGUGUUAUGAGGACGAACUC